RNAcentral lists this ribosomal RNA (255 nucleotides) under uncultured bacterium. RNAcentral's name for it is "partial 16S ribosomal RNA". It matches the Rfam family "Bacterial small subunit ribosomal RNA", at positions 524 to 776 of the family's 1533-position model. The record is from RNAcentral.
UACGAAGGGGGCUAGCGUUGCUCGGAAUCACUGGGCGUAAAGGGUGCGUAGGCGGGUCUUUAAGUCAGAGGUGAAAUCCUGGAGCUCAACUCCAGAACUGCCUUUGAUACUGAGGAUCUUGAGUUCGGGAGAGGUGAGUGGAACUGCGAGUGUAGAGGUGAAAUUCGUAGAUUAUUACGCAAGAACACCAGUGGCGAAGGCGGCUCACUGGCCCGAUACUGACGCUGAGGCACGAAAGCGUGGGGAGCAAACAGG